ACGACUGCUGCUAAGACUGGAUAGGAAAAGUGAAGGCAUCUUUACUUUUUUAAAAGACCUUCUUUGAAGGUAUGCUUAAGGAGGGGCUUGCGACACAUUAGUUAGUUGGUAGGGUAAAGGCCUACCAAGACUAUGAUGUGUAGCUGGACUGAGAGGUUGAACAGCCACAUUGGGACUGAGACACGGCCCAAACUCCUACGGGAGGCAGCAGUAGGGAAUUUUCGGCAAUGGAGGAAACUCUGACCGAGCAACGCCGCGUGAACGAUGAAGUACCUCGGUAUGUAAAGUUCUUUUAUUAAGGAAGAAAAAAGAGUGGAAAAACUCCCUUGACGGUACUUAAUGAAUAAGCCCCGGCUAAUUAUGUGCCAGCAGCCGCGGUAAUACAUAAGGGGCGAGCGUUACCCGGAAUUAUUGGGCGUAAAGGGUGCGUAGGCUGUUUAAUAAGUUUAUACGCUAUUAAUGUGCCAGCGCGUAUACACUAAGAGCGUGCUAUAGAAACUGUUUUACUAGAGUGAGAUAGAGGCAAGCGGAAAUUCCAUGUGUAGCGGUAAAAUGCGUAAAUAUUAUGGAGGAACACCAGAGGCGUAGGCGGCUUGCUGGGUUCUUUACUGACGCUGAGCCACGAAAGCGUGGGAACCAAACAGGAUUAAAUACCCUGGUUAGUCCACGCCGUUAAACAAUGAAUUACUAAGUGUUCGGGUAAAACCGGUACUAAAGUUAACACAUUAAGUUACUCCGCCUGGAGGAGUACGUUACCCAAGUAUAAAACUUAAAGGAAAUGACGGGACUCCCCACAACCGGUGAAUCAUGUUGUUUUAAUUCGAAGAAAUCCACGAAAACCCUUCCCAGUUCUUACCAUUUUCUUGCAAAUUUAUAAAAAUUUAAUGAAGUUUUUCAGAAAACCAGGGGGUCCAGGUUGUUCUUCAGCUCGUUUCUUAAAAUUUUAGGUUAAUUCUUAAAACAAGCCCACCCCUUUUGGUUAAUUCCCACCAGUUAAUAAGGGGGCCUUUAACAAGACUCCCAAUAAAAAAUGGGGGAAAGGGGGGGAAUUACUUCAAUUCUUCAGCCCCUUUAUAUUUGGGCUUCCAAACGUAAUCCAAUGUUUAAUACAAAAAUUAGUUAAAACGCAAUUUUUUACCCAUUUUCCCAAAUUCAUUUUCAUUUCGAAUGAAAUUUUCCAAUUCAAUUUCAGAAAUUGGAAAUCCUUAUUAUUCGGAAAUCACCAGUUCGGGGGAAAUAGUUCAAGGGGUUUGUACACACCGCCCGUCA
This 1269-nucleotide ribosomal RNA is filed under the name Milkweed yellows phytoplasma. RNAcentral's name for it is "partial 16S ribosomal RNA". It matches the Rfam family "Bacterial small subunit ribosomal RNA", at positions 153 to 1399 of the family's 1533-position model. The record is from RNAcentral. Lineage: Bacteria; Bacillati; Mycoplasmatota; Mollicutes; Acholeplasmatales; Acholeplasmataceae.